RNAcentral lists this long non-coding RNA (396 nucleotides) under Ananas comosus (pineapple). Its description in RNAcentral is "long non-coding RNA (ACOM_LNC022197)". Lineage: Eukaryota; Viridiplantae; Streptophyta; Magnoliopsida; Poales; Bromeliaceae. The record is from RNAcentral.
UUUGCAAAGGUCCAGUGUGUUACAUGUAUAUAUGUAUGUUUUGGUGAAGGGGUUCGAAAAGGGUUCGAAUUGUCGUGAAUUGGCGACCAUUUCUGAUGAAACAAAAUCGUAGGUUUGAUGGUCUGGCAGUGCCGGAAGUGCCGGCGUGAUCCGUUCGUAAAUCCGGCGAAUUGAUCGUUCGGAAUAGCGCGUUUAUCAAGGAUGGGAGACGAUUUUGCGAAAAGGGUAUUUCUGUAAAAUACCCAAUAUUUUAUGUACCGUUUCGCGAGGGAUCGCUUGUCGAGGGGUGUUGGCGCGUUUUACGCGAAUGCUGAAGGACUCGGAUUAUUUGGUCAAGGUUUUUAGGGGUUUUUCGCAAUUGUUCGAUUACUUUUAAGAUGGCAUCUAGGUUUUCUU